UAUUUUGGAUUAGUUGGUGGUGGCCGAAUAAUGUGGUUGAAGAUUUGGGAAAAAUGCUGGACUUCAGUGCAGAGAACUUGACCUGAGGGAUUGAUGGCUGAAGAUAUUUAAGCUAAAACCCCGUCUGCCUAUUUUAUAAAGGGGAAACAGAUGAUCGAGCCACUGAAUCCGGAUUUAAAGAGCAGUGUAAACGGGGUUUAAGGCUACCGAAGACUUCAUACAGUUGUUUCCAUCGUGAAAGAUUCAGAAAGUGGAAGUAAGCUAAGUCCCACUAUCUAAGCUAUAAAGGCAUAAGCAAGGAAGCGUUUUCAAAUUUGCUUAUUUUGUAACUUUUCAAUGGGUUUUAAGAGAGUUGGGCUUAUGUAUAAAGGUGUUCAAAUACAUACAAUUGCCCGAGUUA
Long non-coding RNA from Stomoxys calcitrans (stable fly), 400 nucleotides. RefSeq lists it as uncharacterized. The record is from RefSeq and is a predicted model, not a curated record. Lineage: Eukaryota; Metazoa; Arthropoda; Insecta; Diptera; Muscidae. The transcript is spliced from 2 exons.